This 359-nucleotide long non-coding RNA is filed under the name Pan troglodytes (chimpanzee). RNAcentral's name for it is "long non-coding RNA NONPTRT004107". The record is from RNAcentral. Lineage: Eukaryota; Metazoa; Chordata; Mammalia; Primates; Hominidae.
CGCCACGCCUGUAAUCCCAGCACUGUGGGAGGCUGAGGUGGGCCGAUCAUGAGGUCAGAGUUUGAGACCAGUCUGGCCAACAUGGUGAAAUCCCGUCUCUACUAAAGAUACAAAAAAUUAGCUGGCACGCACCUGUAAUCCCAGCUACUCAGGAGGCUGAGAGUAUAUGGUCAACCACCCAGAUAUUUCUCAACCUGCCUCCCAGUGAGGUGCCAUGUAACUAUAUUCUGGCCAAUGACAUGGCCAUGACACUCAUGGAACACAAACCAUCUAUUUGUCUACCACAAAAUGCACCCAAGUGUCUCAAAGUGCCCUUCUGGUUACAAAAUGAGACACUGCUUCAGGACCUUGGAGAGCGC